RNAcentral lists this ribosomal RNA (261 nucleotides) under uncultured bacterium. RNAcentral's name for it is "partial 16S ribosomal RNA". It matches the Rfam family "Bacterial small subunit ribosomal RNA", at positions 96 to 353 of the family's 1533-position model. The record is from RNAcentral.
UGGCGAACGGGUGAGUAACGCGUGAGGAACCUGCCUCAAAGAGGGGGACAACAGUUGGAAACGACUGCUAAUACCGCAUAAGCCCACGGUGCCGCAUGGCACAGAGGGAAAAGGAGCAAUCCGCUUUGAGAUGGCCUCGCGUCCGAUUAGCUAGUUGGUGAGGUAACGGCCCACCAAGGCAACGAUCGGUAGCCGGACUGAGAGGUUGAACGGCCACAUUGGGACUGAGACACGGCCCAAACUCCUACGGGAGGCAGCAUG